Molecule: ribosomal RNA, 1553 nt
Filed under: Staphylococcus haemolyticus
Lineage: Bacteria; Bacillati; Bacillota; Bacilli; Caryophanales; Staphylococcaceae
Description: bacterial SSU rRNA
Rfam family: Bacterial small subunit ribosomal RNA
Source: RNAcentral
UUUAUGGAGAGUUUGAUCCUGGCUCAGGAUGAACGCUGGCGGCGUGCCUAAUACAUGCAAGUCGAGCGAACAGACAAGGAGCUUGCUCCUUUGACGUUAGCGGCGGACGGGUGAGUAACACGUGGGUAACCUACCUAUAAGACUGGGAUAACUUCGGGAAACCGGAGCUAAUACCGGAUAAUAUUUCGAACCGCAUGGUUCGAUAGUGAAAGAUGGUUUUGCUAUCACUUAUAGAUGGACCCGCGCCGUAUUAGCUAGUUGGUAAGGUAACGGCUUACCAAGGCGACGAUACGUAGCCGACCUGAGAGGGUGAUCGGCCACACUGGAACUGAGACACGGUCCAGACUCCUACGGGAGGCAGCAGUAGGGAAUCUUCCGCAAUGGGCGAAAGCCUGACGGAGCAACGCCGCGUGAGUGAUGAAGGUCUUCGGAUCGUAAAACUCUGUUAUUAGGGAAGAACAUACAUGUAAGUAACUAUGCACGUCUUGACGGUACCUAAUCAGAAAGCCACGGCUAACUACGUGCCAGCAGCCGCGGUAAUACGUAGGUGGCAAGCGUUAUCCGGAAUUAUUGGGCGUAAAGCGCGCGUAGGCGGUUUUUUAAGUCUGAUGUGAAAGCCCACGGCUCAACCGUGGAGGGUCAUUGGAAACUGGAAAACUUGAGUGCAGAAGAGGAAAGUGGAAUUCCAUGUGUAGCGGUGAAAUGCGCAGAGAUAUGGAGGAACACCAGUGGCGAAGGCGACUUUCUGGUCUGUAACUGACGCUGAUGUGCGAAAGCGUGGGGAUCAAACAGGAUUAGAUACCCUGGUAGUCCACGCCGUAAACGAUGAGUGCUAAGUGUUAGGGGGUUUCCGCCCCUUAGUGCUGCAGCUAACGCAUUAAGCACUCCGCCUGGGGAGUACGACCGCAAGGUUGAAACUCAAAGGAAUUGACGGGGACCCGCACAAGCGGUGGAGCAUGUGGUUUAAUUCGAAGCAACGCGAAGAACCUUACCAAAUCUUGACAUCCUUUGACAACUCUAGAGAUAGAGCCUUCCCCUUCGGGGGACAAAGUGACAGGUGGUGCAUGGUUGUCGUCAGCUCGUGUCGUGAGAUGUUGGGUUAAGUCCCGCAACGAGCGCAACCCUUAAGCUUAGUUGCCAUCAUUAAGUUGGGCACUCUAAGUUGACUGCCGGUGACAAACCGGAGGAAGGUGGGGAUGACGUCAAAUCAUCAUGCCCCUUAUGAUUUGGGCUACACACGUGCUACAAUGGACAAUACAAAGGGCAGCGAAACCGCGAGGUCAAGCAAAUCCCAUAAAGUUGUUCUCAGUUCGGAUUGUAGUCUGCAACUCGACUACAUGAAGCUGGAAUCGCUAGUAAUCGUAGAUCAGCAUGCUACGGUGAAUACGUUCCCGGGUCUUGUACACACCGCCCGUCACACCACGAGAGUUUGUAACACCCGAAGCCGGUGGAGUAACCAUUUGGAGCUAGCCGUCGAAGGUGGGACAAAUGAUUGGGGUGAAGUCGUAACAAGGUAGCCGUAUCGGAAGGUGCGGCUGGAUCACCUCCUUUCU